AUGAAGACACUAGCUGAAGCAAUUACUGAGGUAUUACUGACUAUCAUGGAAGACAGGCUGAUGAGAAGCCAGCGUCCUGCCAAAGACACCAAGGCUCAUUCAACUGUCAAAAGCGAUAGAGGCUCUGACCUUACUGUUCCAGAAUGCAUAAGUUGGGCACAUACGGAUCUUCUAUUAACGUUCAAUGUUAGUGGACCCAAGAGCUUCUCUGCCAACUAUUUCGGAGUUUCUGAGCCUGCUGAUUUAAAAAUGUUCAUUGCUUAUAUAUUCUAA
RNAcentral lists this long non-coding RNA (273 nucleotides) under Dromaius novaehollandiae (emu). RNAcentral describes it as "lncRNA (ENSDNVG00000002951.1)". The record is from RNAcentral. Lineage: Eukaryota; Metazoa; Chordata; Aves; Casuariiformes; Dromaiidae.